AGAGUUUGAUCCUGGCUCAGGAUGAACGCUAGCUACAGGCUUAACACAUGCAAGUCGUGGGGCAUCAUGAUGUAGUAAUACAUUGAUGGCGACCGGCGCACGGGUGAGUAACGCGUAUCCAACCUACCCUCCACUCAAGUAUAGGCUUCCGAAAGGGAGAUUAAUCCUUGAUAUCGUCAUUCUCUCUCCUGUUAGAAUGAUAAAAGGACAUCGUUUCGGUAGAGGAUGGGGAUGCGUUCCAUUAGGUAGUAGGUGGUUUAACAGGCCACCUAGCCGAUGAUGGAUAGGGGUUCUGAGAGGAAUAUCCCCCACACUGGUACUGAGAUACGGACCAGACUCCUACGGGAGGCAGCAGUGAGGAAUAUUGGUCAAUGGGCGCAAGCCUGAACCAGCCAUGUAGCGUGAAGGAUGACGGUUUUUUUGAUUGUAAACUUCUUUUCUGUGCGAUUAAAGUGUGGCAUUUAUGCCAUAUUGCAGUUAUCUCAGGAAUAAGCAUCGGCUAACUCCGUGCCAGCAGCCGCGGUAAUACGGAGGAUGCGAGCGUUAUCCGGAUUUAUUGGGUUUAAAGGGAGCGUAGAUGGUUUUUUAAGUCAGCUGUCAAAUGUAUGGGCUCAACCCUUAUUAUCAGUUGAAACUGUAAGACUUGAGUGCGGUGUGGGUACAUGGAAUUCGUGGUGUAGCGGUGAAAUGCAUAGAUAUCACGAAGAACUCCGAAAGCGUAGGCAUUGUACCAUAGCGCCACUGACAUUGAUGCUCGAAGGUGCGGGAAUCAAACAGGAUUAGAUACCCUGGUAGUCCGCACAGUAAACGAUGAAUGCUCGACGUUGUCGAUAUACUGUCAGCGUCCAAGCGAAAGCGUUAAGCAUUCCACCUGGGGAGUACGCCGGCAACGGUGAAACUCAAAGGAAUUGACGGGGGCCCGCACAAGCGGAGGAACAUGUGGUUUAAUUCGAUGAUACGCGCGGAACCUUACCCGGGCUUGAAUUGUACCUGUAGGUGUUUGAAAGAUCAUCGUCUUGUAAAGAGCAGGUAUGAAGGUGCUGCAUGGUUGUCGUCAGCUCGUGCCGUGAGGUGUCGGCUCAAGUGCCAUAACGAGCGCAACCCUUUCCAUCAGUUACAAACGAAAUUAGUCGUGUACUCUGUUGGUACUGCCAUCGUAAGAUGUGAGGAAGGUGGGGAUGACGUCAAAUCAGCACGGCCCUUACGUUCGGGGCUACACACGUGUUACAAUGGGGGGUACAGUGGGUCGCUAUCCGGCGACGGAGUGCCAAUCCUCAAAACCCCUCCCAGUUCGGACUGGAGUCUGCAACCCGACUCCACGAAGCUGGAUUCGCUAGUAAUCGCGCAUCAGCCAUGGCGCGGUGAAUACGUUCCCGGGCCUUGUACACACCGCCCGUCAAGCCAUGAAAGCCGGGGGUACCUGAAGCACGUUAUCGCAAGUAUCGUUCCAGGGUAAAUCUGGUGAUUGGGGCUAAGUCGUAACAAGGUAGCCGUACCGGAAGGUGCGGCUG
This 1511-nucleotide ribosomal RNA is filed under the name Phocaeicola abscessus CCUG 55929. RNAcentral's name for it is "bacterial SSU rRNA". It matches the Rfam family "Bacterial small subunit ribosomal RNA". Lineage: Bacteria; Pseudomonadati; Bacteroidota; Bacteroidia; Bacteroidales; Bacteroidaceae. The record is from RNAcentral.